GACGAACGCUGGCGGCGUGCCUAAUACAUGCAAGUAGAACGCUGAAGGAGGAGCUUGCUUCUCUGGAUGAGUUGCGAACGGGUGAGUAACGCGUAGGUAACCUGCCUGGUAGUGGGGGAUAACUAUUGGAAACGAUAGCUAAUACCGCAUAAUAGCAGUUGUUGCAUGAUAACUGUUUGAAAGGUGCAAUUGCACCGCUACCAGAUGGACCUGCGUUGUAUUAGCUAGUUGGUGGGGUAACGGCUCACCAAGGCGACGAUACAUAGCCGACCUGAGAGGGUGAUCGGCCACACUGGGACUGAGACACGGCCCAGACGCCUACGGGAGGCAGCAGUAGGGAAUCUUCGGCAAUGGACGGAAGUCUGACCGAGCAACGCCGCGUGAGUGAAGAAGGUUUUCGGAUCGUAAAGAUCUGUUGUAAGAGAAGAACGAGUGUGAGAGUGGAAAGUUCACACUGUGACGGUAUCUUACCAGAAAGGGACGGCUAACUACGUG
RNAcentral lists this ribosomal RNA (495 nucleotides) under uncultured bacterium. Its description in RNAcentral is "partial 16S ribosomal RNA". It matches the Rfam family "Bacterial small subunit ribosomal RNA", at positions 28 to 507 of the family's 1533-position model. The record is from RNAcentral.